Molecule: ribosomal RNA, 472 nt
Filed under: uncultured bacterium
Lineage: Bacteria
Description: bacterial SSU rRNA
Rfam family: Bacterial small subunit ribosomal RNA
Source: RNAcentral
ACUCCUACGGGAGGCAGCAGUGGGGAAUAUUGGACAAUGGGGGGAACCCUGAUCCAGCCAUGCCGCGUGUGUGAAGAAGGCCUUAUGGUUGUAAAGCACUUUAAGCGAGGAGGAGGCUACUGAGACUAAUACUCUUGGAUAGUGGACGUUACUCGCAGAAUAAGCACCGGCUAACUCUGUGCCAGCAGCCGCGGUAAUACAGAGGGUGCGAGCGUUAAUCGGAUUUACUGGGCGUAAAGCGUGCGUAGGCGGCUUUUAAGUCGGAUGUGAAAUCCCCGAGCUUAACUUGGGAAUUGCAUUCGAUACUGGGAAGCUAGAGUAUGGAGAGGAUGGUAGAAUUCCAGGUGUAGCGGUGAAAUGCGUAGAGAUCUGGAGGAAUACCGAUGGCGAAGGCAGCCAUCUGGCCUAAUACUGACGCUGAGGUACGAAAGCAUGGGAGCAAACAGGAUUAGAUACCCCUGGUAGGAUAGCG